AGAACGAACGCUGGCGGCGUGGAUAAGACAUGCAAGUCGAACGCGAUUUAUCAGGUUAGCAAUAACUUGGUAAAUUGAGUGGCGAAAGGGUGCGUAACACGUGGGAAAUUACCAAGAAGUGGGGAAUAGCUCGACGAAAGUCGAAUUAAUACCGCAUACGAUCGCAAGAUCAAAGCCGGGGACCGCAAGGCCUGGCGCUUUUUGAGAUGCCCGCGGCCCAUCAGCUAGUUGGCGGGGUAACGGCCCACCAAGGCUAUGACGGGUAGCUGGUCUGAGAGGACGACCAGCCACACUGGAACUGAGACACGGUCCAGACACCUACGGGUGGCAGCAGUCGAGAAUUUUUCACAAUGGACGAAA
Molecule: ribosomal RNA, 360 nt
Filed under: uncultured bacterium
Lineage: Bacteria
Description: SSU rRNA
Rfam family: Bacterial small subunit ribosomal RNA
Source: RNAcentral